UGAGACUGUCCUGGCUCACAUUGAACGCUGGCGGCAGGCCUAACACAUGCAAGUCGGGCGGCAGCGCGGGGGCAACCCUGGCGGCGAGCGGCGAACGGGUGAGUAAUACAUGGGAAUCUACCUGGUAGUGGGGGAUAACUUCGGGAAACUGGAGGUAAUACCGCAUACGUCCUACGGGAGAAAGGGGGGGAUCUUCGGACCUCUCGCUAUCAGAGGAGCCCAUGUCCGAUUAGCUAGUUGGUGAGGUAAAGGCUCACCAAGGCGACGAUCGGUAACUGGUCUGAGAGGAUGGUCAGUCACACUGGAACUGAGACACGGUCCAGACUCCUACGGGAGGCAGCAGUGGGGAAUAUUGGACAAUGGGGGCAACCCUGAUCCAGCCAUGCCGCGUGUGUGAAGAAGGCCUUCGGGUUGUAAAGCACUUUAAGCAGGGAGGAAGGCUCGUACGUUAAUAGCGUGCGGGAGUGACGUUACCUGCAGAAUAAGCACCGGCAAACUCCGUGCCAGCAGCCGCGGUAAUACAAGCCGAAUUCCACACACUA
RNAcentral lists this ribosomal RNA (542 nucleotides) under uncultured bacterium. RNAcentral's name for it is "bacterial SSU rRNA". It matches the Rfam family "Bacterial small subunit ribosomal RNA", at positions 1 to 543 of the family's 1533-position model. The record is from RNAcentral.